Molecule: ribosomal RNA, 392 nt
Filed under: uncultured bacterium
Lineage: Bacteria
Description: partial 16S ribosomal RNA
Rfam family: Bacterial small subunit ribosomal RNA
Source: RNAcentral
AUACGUAUGUCGCAAGCGUUAUCCGGAUUUAUUGGGCGUAAAGCGCGUCUAGGCGGCUUAGUAAGUCUGAUAUGAAAAUGCGGGGCUCAACCCCGUAUUGCGUUGGAAACUGCUAAACUAGAGUACUGGAGAGGUAGGCGGAACUACAAGUGUAGAGGUGAAAUUCGUAGAUAUUUGUAGGAAUGCCGAUGGGGAAGCCAGCCUACUGGACAGAUACUGACGCUAAAGCGCGAAAGCGUGGGUAGCAAACAGGAUUAGAUACCCUGGUAGUCCACGCCGUAAACGAUGAUUACUAGGUGUUGGGGGUCGAACCUCAGCGCCCAAGCUAACGCGAUAAGUAAUCCGCCUGGGGAGUACGUACGCAAGUAUGAAACUCAAAUGAAUUGACGGGG